CUCCGCAAUGCUAUAAAGCUGACAAUGGAUGCCUAGGGCGUUUGUGCCGAGGAAGGACGUAUAUGGCCACGAUAGUCGUCGGGGAGGAGCCAUACUCCCGUGAUCCGGCGGUUUCCGAAUGGAGAAAUCCGUCCCGCUCUGCGGGACAAUCCGUCGUAAAACAGUUUUCGCACCAUGGAUCAAAUUGGUCUCAUUGGACACACGAGGCACAUUUGGUUUACGGUGCGGAAACUGAUAGCGACGGAUGGGGCACCAUCCGAACUGAAACAUCUAAGUAGGAUGAGGAAAAGAAAUCAAUUGAGAUUCCGUCAGUAGCGGCGAGCGAAAGCGGAAAAGCCUAAACCGAGCUUAGCUCGGGGUUGUGGGGCAGAAGUCGUGGGAUGUGUUGACGGUAGGAGAAUGUCUCGGAAUAGAUAACCACANNNNNNNNNNNNNNNNNNNNNNNNNNNNNNNNNNNNNNNNNNNNNNNNNNNNNNNNNNNNNNNNNNNNNNNNNNNNNUAGUGAACGAGUACCGUGAGGGAAAGGUGAAAAGCACCCCGGAAGGGGAAUGAAAGAGUACCUGAAAUUGUCAGCUAACAAACAGCGAGAGUUUGUGCUUCGCACAAAAGUCUUCAGUCAUCAGCUUUUAGCUUUCAGCUUAUAUGGAGGUAAAUUUAUAACAUACUUCUUAUUUGUCUGAUAGCUGACGACUGAUAGCUGAUAGCUUUCGUGCGGAGCACGAAUAAUCGCGUGCCUAUUGAAGAAUGAACCGGUGAGUUACCGUUGUCUGCAAGUCUAACCCUCAAAAUUUGCUCAUUCAUAAUGUGCACUGAAAAUUUGCGUGCGCAAAUUUUUAGUGAGCAAAUUUUGAGGGGGAGGCGCAGUGAAAGCGAGCCCUAAACGGGCGUCCUAGCAGGUAGCGGUAGACCCGAAACCGGGUGAGCUAACCAUGGGCAGGGUGAACCCCGACGAAAGUCGGGAGGAGGCCCGAACUCGUCAGAGUUACAAAUCUGUGAGACGACCUGUGGUUAGGGGUAAUAUGCCUAUCGAACCCGGAGAUAGCUGGUUCUCCCCGAAAUAUAUUUUGGUAUAGCGGUCGAUCAAGCGAUGGAGUGGUAGAGCACUGAAUGAUCACGGUUUCGCAAGGAAUCGCCUUCAAUCAAACUCCGAAUACUUACAUCGUUAUUCGGCCAGUCAGACAUGCGGGGCUAAGCUCGUGUGUCAAAAGGGAAACAGCCCUGAUUCUCAUCUAAGGCCUCUAAGUCUCUGCUCAGUGGUUAAGGAAGUCAUGGUUUUAAGACACCCAGGAGGUUGGCUUAGAAGCAGCCAUCCUUUAAAGAAAGCGUAACAGCUCACUGGAUGAAAGCCGUGGCGCCGAAAAUGAUCGAGGCUCAAGCAGAGCGCCGAAGAUAGAGAUUCUCCGCCUUUGGCGGAGAGUGGUAGGGGAGCGUUCUGACUGCAGUGAAGCAUACGCCGUAAGGCGGUGUGGAGCGGUCAGAAGUGAGAAUGCCGGUAUGAGUAGCGUUUGGAUGUGAGAAUCAUCCAUGCCGAAUGCGCAAGGUUUCCGAAGCAACGUUCGUCGACUUCGGGUAAGUCGGAUCUAAGGCGAGACCGCCAUUUGGCGGUGUAGCUCGAUGUAGAAACGGUUGAUAUUCCGUUACAAGGAAGUGUCGAUUAAGACGCAAAGGAACGACAAAGUGGGACGUGUCUGUGGGCUGAUUCGUUGGCCUUUAAGCUUUGAGACAGGAGUAACUGGCAAAUCCGUAACUCUGUUUAAUUAAGAAGCGAAUAGGAGUCCAAGCCGAAAGGUGCGGGCAACACAGAUAGUUUCGUUUUCGAGAAAAGUUUCGUUGCGAGGCACUUUUUUUCCGUACCGCAAACCGACACUGGUGCGCUGGUAGAGUAUACCAAGGCAAGCGGGCGACAGUGGUUCAAGGAACUCGGCAACAAAAGCUGGGCGUAACCUUUGGGAGAUGCCCUGCCCGCCGCAAGGCGGGCCACAGUAAAUGACACUACGCGACUGUUUAACUAAAACACAGGUCUCUGCGAAGCCGUAAGGCCACGUAUAGGGGCUGACACCUGCCCAGUGCCGGUAAGUUAAGUGUGCUCAGUGACUUUAAGCAAUUAAAGAAGCCAGGUACACAAGCUCCGGUGAACGGCAGCAAUAACUAUAAUUGUUCUAUGGUAGCGAAAUUCCUUGUCGGGCAAGUUCCGACCCGCACGAAAGGUAGAACGACGUAGUGACUGUCUUGAACCAUUACCCGGCGAAAUUGAAAUGGCUGUGAAGAUGCGGCCUACUUGCACAUGGACAAAAAGACCCCGUGGAGCUUUACUGCAACUUGGCACUGAGGACCUUAUUUUGACUGUCGAGCAUAGGAGGGAGCACUGAAAUCGAAAGAUUUUAGUGCGCCAGUGAAAUACCUCUCUUCGAAAUGAGGAAAUCUGACUUACUCCUGCAUAAAAAUCCAGGAGAAGAACACUGCCUGGUAGGCAGUUUAACUGGGGAGGUUGCCUCCAAAAGUGUAACGGAGGCGUACAAAGGUUGGCUAACCCUGAAUGGAAACCAGGGCACUCAAGUGCAAACGCAAAAGCCAGCUUGACUGCGAGACUUACAAGUCGAGCAGGGACGAAAGUCGGUGUUAGUGAUCCUCGGAUACCUCGUGGGAGGUACCGGGCUUAACGGAUAAAAGCUACCCCGGGGAUAACAGGCUGAUCGCUUCCGANNNNNNNNNNNNNNNNNNNNNNNNNNNNNNNNNNNNNNNNNNNNNNNNNNNNNNNNNNNNNNNNGGAUAACAGGCUGAUCGCUUCCGAGAGUCCAUAUCGACGAGGCGGUUUGGCACCUCGAUGUCGGCUCAUCCUAUCCUGGGGGUGGAGAAGCUCCCAAGGGUCCGGCUGUUCGCCGGUUAAAAGGGUACGCGAGCUGGGUUCAGAACGUCGUGAGACAGUUGGAGAUUCAAAGCUGUCCGCUUUCAGACGUUUAUUUAAGAAACCCCAUCGAGAUUAUUUACUGUUAACAUGAAAGCCAUUUUUACUUACACUUAAGUGAAAUGUAAAAUCUGACUAUAUGCUGGAAACUCCGAGCAUCCAACAAUACCCCUUGGUAACAAUUUGUUGGUGCGGAUUAUCAGCAGGGAAGGCCCCGAUUUAAUCGUGGAACCCUCAGAGACUAUAUGUCAGACCCCGCACGCUUCUGCGCUGUGGGGAAGAUAUAGUCCGAACUGUAUAGCGAUAUACAGAGUGUCCAUAGAAAUAUGGCACCUCGUUAUUGACGAGUAACAUUUUUGUCGGUCUCUAUCCUGUGCAAGCGCUCGAUUCUUGAGGGGAGUUCUCCGUAGUACGAGAGGACCCGGAGGAACAGAUCCCUGGUGUGCCUAUUGUCGGAAAACCGGCAUCGUAGGGUAGCUAUAUCUGGACGGGAUAAGUGCUGAAAGCAUCUCAAGCGCCAAGCCCACCCCAAGAUGAAGAAUCGUUACAAGGUCCGUUGCAGAAUACGACGUUGAUAGGCGAGAAGUGUACGCACCGCAAGGUGUUUAGCUUACUCGUACUAAUAGACCAAAUAUUGUGGAGAA
Molecule: non-coding RNA, 3549 nt
Organism: Candidatus Gottesmanbacteria bacterium
Lineage: Bacteria; Candidatus Gottesmaniibacteriota
Source: Rfam